RNAcentral lists this unclassified non-coding RNA (326 nucleotides) under soil metagenome. RNAcentral's name for it is "partial contains 5.8S ribosomal RNA, internal transcribed spacer 2, and large subunit ribosomal RNA". The stretch from base 1 to 120 matches the Rfam family "5.8S ribosomal RNA", at positions 35 to 154 of the family's 154-position model. The record is from RNAcentral.
GAUGAAGAACGUAGCGAAAUGCGAUAAGUAGUGUGAAUUGCAGAAUUUAGUGAAUCAUCGAAUCUUUGAACGCACAUUGCGCCCUAUAGUAUUCUGUAGGGCAUGCCUGUUCGAGCGUUAUUGAGACCUCAAGCUCUGCUUGGAAAUGGGCGCUUGUCUUGCCUUGCAGACUCGCCUUAAAACCAUUGGCAGCUGAUUUACAAUGUUUGGUGCACAGUACAUGAGCCCAAGUGUUGCAAUGAGUGGCCCAAACGGAUACAAUAGAAGCUUAACCUCGGAUCAGGUAGGGAUACACGCUGAACUUAAGCAUAUCAAUAAGCGGAGGA